This 11650-nucleotide long non-coding RNA is filed under the name Theobroma cacao (cacao). RNAcentral describes it as "long non-coding RNA (TCAC_LNC001971)". The record is from RNAcentral. Lineage: Eukaryota; Viridiplantae; Streptophyta; Magnoliopsida; Malvales; Malvaceae.
CUCAUACUGGCAUACCAAACAAGUGUAUAUACAUUGUCUACAACAUGUAUCUUAAUAAUUUACAUUAGGUUUGUCUAUACACAACAAAAAAAUACUCGACUUCCAGCGGAGAGACUCGAACGAAUGUACAGCUACUGAAUGUCGAAACACCUACUAAGGGUCAAAUAUACGAAGACACUUCGACCUAGUUACCAGCUGCCUUGUGAUCUGAAAACAUGAAGUUGAAAACGGUGAGUAUAAACCCAGUGAGUGAACGAGGAAGGGAACAAGCAUACCAUAAGGAAUGUUUAACGAAAUCAUCAUGCAUUCAUUUUGCAAAACAAUGCAAUUUAUUUGAUUUCUUAUUAAACCCCUCAUGUAAACCCCACAUGAGAAAAAUCACUUAUUGAAAAGAGUCCAUGCUCAACAAAGGUUUUGGAGAGUGAAUACUUUAAUAGCAUUCAUGCGAAUCAAGUCAAAUAAACGACAAGUCCUCGUUGCAGCGGAAAGGCAUUCUUGCUGUAGCGAGAAUGAAUUUUUGCUGCAACGACACUUGACUUUAAUUAUCAUCUAGCCGAGGGUUUUUUAACUAGCCGAGGGUUUCUCACCAAACCUCCUCAUUUUAAACUUAAUUCAUUUAUUCCUUAAUGUUGGAAGUCCAUGCUCAACUAUGGUAUUAAAGAAGUGGAAAAUAGGGCAACAAUUGAUCAAGAUGUGAGACAAACAUAAAGUUUUUCACUGCACCGAGAAUGAAUCUCGCUGCAGUGAAAUUUCUGCCCCAAGACAGAAACUUUCUCGCUAUAGCGAGAAUGCUACAGUAUUUUCUCGCUGCAGCGAGUUUUUGACCAGGGCACCAAUGAGAAAUUUCCUUUCCUCCCAAAGAAAACCACCAUGCUGAAAUGUCCAAAACCAAUAAGAAACACAUAACAACUUCCCAAAGUUUAACAUACCAAAUUUCACAUACAUUAUAACCAUAUACCAUUACUCAUAAAUUUCUUAUAACACACAUGUUUACGUAUGUAUAUAUAUAUACAUAUACCCAUCAUCAUCAUGCACACCAUCCCAUCAUCACCAGCUCAUGCAAACUCCCUACUCGCACAUGGCUGGGUCAUCACCGGUUUAUGCGCACUCCCUACUCGCACAUAUCCGAGUCCAUAUAAUUACACAACAAUAUAUUCGUACGUAUAUACAUAUAUCAACAUACUAUAGCAGUAUAGGAAUCCAUAAUAGCCACAUAUCACAACAUAACCCAUUUCUCAAAAGCUUGUUCCCAAGGCACUUAUUUUUAAGAAAGUUGUAUAAAAUCAUUCAAACGUUUUGUACAAACAAUCACAUUCCCCAAAACAAAUUUGAAAUGUAGUUCACUCACCGGUAUAUUGUUAAGCCUUUAGCUGACUCUAAUCGUGAGACCCCAACCUUUAUAGGCUUGUAACUAAGCAUAGAUGUAAUCAUACGAGCCAGGGGUAGUUUCGUCAUUUUCUCUAAUAAGCUCCUAAAAGAAAGUUUUAUGAUAUUUUAAGGUCUAAAUAGGCAUAAGACUGCAUAAUUGACGUGUAAUGAUGAAAACACGAAGAAAACUAGAAAUGACAAUAAUUUUCACAACAGGGGUAAAAUGGUCAUUUUGCACCCGAGUCAAAACUUUUAAAAGUUUCGCAAACCUGAACAUGUCUAGACCAUUAUGGACUUGGUCCCAGUGUUAAAGAGUAAAAAGAUUGCACAAAGGGUUGCAUGAGAACAAGCUAACUAGUCAAGGGUAUUUUCGUAAUUUUAAGGGAAUGGAUAAGUUUGGCCUAUAAAUAUCCUUUUUCUAGCAGCUUCUUCUCCCAUUUUCCAGCAGUUUGUCUUCUUCUUCCUUCUUCCCUCUCACGUUUCUUUAAAACCUCCAUGGAAGCUUGAUAUGGAGCUUGCAUGAUUUUCUCUCUCUAGCUUUAAUUUUCAUACCCUUGUGCCCUUUUGACUAGAACCCUUGUAUUCUUUCACUUUCUCACUUCAAAACCCUUGGUAACGCUUAUUUCCAUGCUUUCUCUCACUAGUUGGGUGUUCUAGAGAGAGAAAGAGAUAAUUACCCUAUUUGUUUGAAAGCUAUUGGAAGAGAAUUCAACUACAAAAAAACCCAAGGGUGAGUGAUGAACUAAGCUCGGUUUUUAGCUGUAGAAAAUGGCUAGUAAUUGGGAUUAUGAGCUGUUUUAUUGUAAAGGAUGUUCAUUCAUUUUAUAGUAAUUAAGAUAGUGAACAUAAAUAGCCAUUUAAAGUGGCAAUUGAAAGCUAGCUACAAGAUAGCUUUUAGGGUUUGUAUUAUGUGAAUUAACAUAAUGAUGAUGUUAAUGAAAUGGUAGGUUCCAACGAAGUUCCAUCAUUCUGUUUGGACAAUUAGAGAAAUUAUAGUCAGUUAAAGGCUCAACAAAAUAUCAGUGAGUGAACUGCAUUCAAAACUUGUUUUGAGUAUAUAAUGUAUUUGCCAAACAUUUGAAUGAAUUAUCAAGCUUUUCAUAAAAACAAGUGCCUUGGGAACAAGUUUUUGAUAGAUUGUCUCCAUGUUGUGACAUGUGACUAUUAUUGAUUCAUGCACUACCACAUUGUGUUGAUAUAUAUAUAUGUGAAUACAUUGUUGUGUAAUGAUAUUGACUCGGCUAUGUGCAAGUAAAAAGUGAAUACAUAAGCUGAUGAUGACCCGGUUUUGUUUGAGUAGGGAGUGCGCAUAACUGGUGAUGACCUAGCCAUGUUCGAGUAGGGAGUACGCAUGAGCUAAGAAUUAGGGGAUGGCGUGCAUGACGGUGAUGGCUAUAUGUAUAUGUAUACAUACGUAAACAUGUGUGUUAUAAGCAAUUUAUGAGUUAUGUAUAUGGAUGUAAUGUAUGUGAAAUUUGGUAUGUUAAACUUUGGGAAGUUGUUAUGUAUUUUUUAUUGGUUUUGAACAUUUCAGCAGGGUGGGUUUCUUUGGGAGAAAAGGAAAAUUUUCAUUGGUGCCCUGUAUCUCACUGUAGCGAGAAUCAUUCUUGCUGCAGCGAGAAACUCUCUAGUUUGAGAGCCUUCACCAGAACUGGUUCUCGCUACAGCGAAAAGAAAUCUCGCUGCAGCGAGAAACUCUCUAUUUUAUCAGCUAAAUUUUGCUGCAGCGAGAAACCUUCUGUCUAUUUUGCUAUCUCGUGGGGUUUUGCCAUAUUUUUCCAUUUCAUUUAUACCCUAGUGGAGCAUGGACUUCCAACAUGUUUGAGGAUUGUCUAACUAAGUUUGAAAUGAGGAAAUUUUGAGAGAAACCCUCAGUUGGUUGAGAAACCCUCGUUCGGCUAAUAACUUAAAUCCCAACGUCACUGCAGCGAAAAUUCAUUCUCGUUGUAGCUACGCUGCAGUGAGAAUGCCUUCCCGCUGCAGCGAAGACUCGUCGUCGCAUUUGACUUGUUGGUGUAUCACUGAAGCCUUCAUUUUUCAAAUUAUUGGUUAUGUAUGGGUUCCUCAUUACCAAGUGAUUAAUCAUAUAAAGGUUUAAUGAGGGGUUUUUAAUAUGAAUGAAAUUAAGUUGCAUUGUUUUAAAACAAGUGCAUCAUGAUUUUAAAUUAUUCCUUAUGGUAUGCUUGUUACCUUCCUUGUUCACUAACUGGGUUUAUACUCACCGUUUUUAAACUUCAUGUUUUCAGAUCGAGAGGCAGCCGGUAACUAAGACGAGGUGUCCUCGUAGACUUGUAACCAUCUUUUGGUAGGUGUCUCAGCAUUCAGUAGCUGUACAUUUGUCUGAGUCUCUCCGCUGGAAGUCAAGUAUUAUUUUGUUGUGUAUAGACGAACCUAAUGUAAAUUGUUAAGAUACAUAUUGUAGACAAUGUAUAUACACUUGUUUGGUAUGCCAGUAUGAGAUGGCAAUGUGUAGUAUUAUUUUGAUUCUAAGUUAUGAAAUGUGACUUAGUAGUUUAUGAUGGAAUGAUAAACAUGUCAGAUUAAUAGGCUUGCUUGGGCUUAGUGGAUUACAUCAAUUGGGCCCAUGCGCCAGUCAUGGCUCGAAAUUUAGGUCGUGACACUAAUUCCCCUAAUGAUCCAAUUGGGGUAAUGAGGCUUCGUUAGAACCUAGAAUCACAUUAGCAUCAGUACUAUGUUAAUUCACACACUAUAAACCCUAAAAGCUAUCUCUUAACUAGCUUUCAAUUGCCAUUUUAAAUGGCUAUCUAUGUUCACUACCUAAUCACAUUAGAGUUAAUACACAAUCUCAACAAUAAACUCACAAAUCAAUCACUAAACAUUAUCAACACUUAAAACUCGAUUCUAAUUUACUACUCACCUCGAUAGCUUUGUAACUUUGAAAUUCUUUCCAACAAUUCCCAAGCUUAUUAUAGGGCUUUCUUUCUAUUUCUCUCUCUAAACACUUAGCUAGUAAGAGAAAGUAUGGAAGUAGGAUUUUUCAAGGGUUUUAAAAUGAGAUAGUGAAAAAAUACAAGGGUUCUAGUCAAAAGGGCACAAAGAUAUGAAAACUAGAGCUAGAGAGAGAAAAUAUGCAAGCUCCAUAUCAAGCUUCCAUGGAAGAUGGAAGCAACGUGAGAUGGGAAGAGGAGAAGAAGAAGAAGCUGUUGGAAAUUCAAAAGCUACUGAAAGGAGAAGGUAUUUAUAACCCAAGCUUAUCCAUUCCCUUAGAAAUUACGAAAAUGCCCUUAGUAAGUUAGCUUGUCCUUUUCCACCCCUAUAUGAAAUAUUUUUACUCUUUUGACACUGGGACAAAGUCCAUAAUGGUCUCGAAAUGUUUGAGUUCAUGAAAACUUAAAAAUUUUGACCCGAGGUGAGAAAUGACCAUUUUGCCCCUAUUGUGAAAAUUAUUGUCAUUUCUAGUUUUCUUUGUGUUUUCAUCAUUACACAUCAUUUAUACGGUCUUAUGCCUAUUUAGACCUUAAAAUAUCAUAAACCAACUUCUGGGAGUUUAUUAGAAGAAAUGACGAAACUACCCCUAGCCCGUGCUAUUGUGUCUAUGCUUAGUUACAAGCCUAUAGAGGUUGAGGUCUCACAACAAUCUUUCAAGCCUUCCAUUUUAAUUCCUCCAAAAGAUUUUAAAUUCAAAGACUUUCCUUCAAAAAUAUGUUUAAAUGUUAUUCACCCCCCUUUAGUACUCCUUUUGGGACUAACAAGUGAUAUCAGAGACUAAUCCUUGAUUUUAAGGCUUGACAUCAAAAGAGAAGAUCUAAUGGUGACCCAAAUUUCUAAUGUUACUAAAGGUCAAUCCACAAAUAGACCUCCUCUAUUUGAUGAAUUAAUUACCAAUAUUGGAGCACUAUGAUAUCUACUUAUAUUAUAAUUGUUGACUAUGAGAUGUGAGAUGUCAUUAUCAAAGGUCCUUUCAUUCCCCUGAACACAAAUCUGGUAACUAGUAAGAAAACUCCCAAAAAUAGAGAUGAAUGGACUAAAGCUAAAAUAAGGAAAGUGCAAAUAAAAUUCAAUUCCAUUAACACUCUCCAUUAUGUAUUGAGCCCAACUGAGUUUAACAAAAUCUCUACAUGCACCACUGCCAAGGAAAUUUAGAAGAAGUUCAGAGUCAUUCAUAUAGAGACUUUACAAGUCAAGGAAUCCAAUAUCACACUUCUCAUUCAUAAUUAUGAAAUGUUCAAGAUGGAACCCAAAGAAAACAUCACCACCAUGUAUGAUCUGUUCACAAACAUAGCCAACAAGCUUAAGCAAAUUGGGAAGGUCAUCCUAGAAAAUUUAUUGGUAAGAAGGCUACUUAGAAGUUUACCAAAAGCUUGGAAGCAAGAGGUGACAGUAAUUCAAGAAGCCAAAGAUCUUAAUGUCAUCACCUUAGAUGGGAUAUGUGGCUCACUUUUCACAUAUGAACAAGAGAUGAAGGAAGAAGAAGAAGAAGAAAGGAACAAAACUAAGAAAGAAAUAGAAGUAAGAGCCAACUUUUGCUUCAUGGCCAAAGAUGAAGAACUUGAGGUAAUAUCUAAUUUAUCUAAUAUUUCCUAUGAUGAAUUUCAAGAUGAGAAUGAUUGUUUAUAUGUUGAAUUUGAGAAGUUCGCUUUAAAGUAUAAGGUUUUUAAAAAGAAAACUUUAUCUUUAGAUGAUAAAUUAGAAAAGAUUAAAUGAGAUUUCAAAUAUGUUUUUUAUCAAAGAAAUGUUUUUCAAAUUAAGCUGGAUCAUUCUAAAACAGAUUUUGAAAUUUUAAAGUUGGAAUUAGAGAGUAAAAAUGAGGCCUUACAAAAGGCAUUGGAUGAGAAUGUUGCUCUCAAAGCUUUAAUAGAAGAGAGCUCAAAACUAAAGUUGAACAAAGAAGAAAAACCAAAAACAAAUGAUGCUUUUAAAAGGAAAAAAUAUGCAAAUUCAUUCCAUUGUUAUGUUUGUGGCAAAAAAGGUCAUCCCUCUUAUGAUUAUUAUCAUAAGAGUAAUAACCUCCCCAAAACCAAGAUGGUUUGCGUGCCCAAAGGACUUUAUAUGCUUACAAACCCCUAAAAAGCCAUCAAAGUAUAGGUACCUUUGAUAAAAAAAAUGAAAAAUUAUUUUAUAGGUUGAGCAAGAGCAAAAGGAACAAUAUUUGAAAGCUCAACCAAAAGAAAGGCAACUUUGGUACUUGGAUAAUGACUGCUCAAGGCACAUGACCAAAAAUGAAAAUUUGUUUGUCAAGCUUGAUAGAAAGAAAAAUGAUAGUGUCUCUUUUGGUGACAACUCCAAAGGUAUCAUCCAAGAAAUUGAAACUGUUGGUAAUACUUCUCAAACUCAAAUCAAGCAUGUUUUACUUGUUAAAGGUUUGAAACAUAUCUUAUUAAGCAUUAGUCAACUUUGUUGUGAAACCUCGACCUUCAUAAACACGUAACUCGAUGUAGAACUUAUGUUCAAAGGUUUAAUUUGAGCUAAUGAUGCUAUUUUUACAUUACUUAUAAGUAUUUUAUGUCGUUAUAGGAGUAGGAUUAAAAAAUAAUUUCAAUUGGUGAAGAAAGAUGCAUAGUAGGCUGUUGCUCUAUUUGUAUAUGUUUUGGUUUUUCAAGCAUAUCUCCCACUACAAAAGUGAAAAUAAAACUAUUUUUGGACCAUUGGAAAGAUAAGAGGUAUGGCUACAACUUUUAUGUUUACUACUUUGCCCAGUUUUAACGGGAAAGUGGUCAAUAUUAUUGUCGAAGUGAAAGUACUAGGCCAGAAGAACAUAUUUGGACAGAACAUUUGAGCGUCGCGGCCCUCAUCGUAAUUUCCACAAAUAACAAGUUUAGGGAAUUUUUGAAGCUAGGACUUUUGGGGGCUACUUAAAGGACCUUUUUCAAAGGAUUUUGGACCUUUUCCCAAUGUCAAAAGAGUAAAAAGAUUACACAAGAAAAGGAGGAAGACAAGUGGCCUUGUUAAGGGUAUUAUUGUUAUUGCAUGAGAAAUUAGAUAAGCUUUAACUAUAAAGAUCUCAUCUUUUUCAGCAGCUUCCAUAUUUCUCCAACAACUUCUUCUUCUUCCUCCUCCCAUCUCAUGUUUUUCUCCUCUUCCAUGAAAGUUUCUCUUAAGCUUCCAUCACUCUCUCAAACUAACCUCAAUUUUUGUGCUUUACACACCCUGUUGUAGGGUUUUUCAUACUCCUUUACUCCUUCACCUUAAACAAACCCUUAAAAGUCUUUCUUCAAUACUUGCUCUCACCAGCUAAACUUUGUAAAGAGAAAAAGAAAGGUUUCAUGAUAGCUUGAGGACUCUUGGGAAGAAAUUUCAUUACCGUCCACCAAGGUGAGUGAUGAAUUAAGAUUGGUUUUAAGUUAUUGAUGAUGGCUAGUAAUUAGAGUUAUGAGUUGUGUUAUUUGCUGAAAUUGUUUAUCUAUUUCUAGUGUUACUAAAGUAGAGAAACAGAAUAGCCAAUCAAAUGGUAAUUGGAAGGUAGAUAGGAAGGGCUAUUGAAGCUUGAAUUGGGAAACAACUUUUGUAGUGAUAUUAAUGUAAAUUGGAUUGGCUGUGAUGUUUCUGUGCGUGAUAGGUUCCAACAAGGCCCCUCAGCCCCAUUUGGACCAUUAGGGAAGUUAGAGUCGAUUAAAGGUUCAACAAGUAUCGGUGAGUGAACUUGCAUUAAAAGGUUUUGGGAUAUACACAUAUAUGUUUGAUUGAAUCCUCUAAAACGUUUUACUUGGUUCUUUCUUCAAACCUUGCACGAGAACAAGCCCUUAUGAAAUGUUUUUAUGUUAUGAAAUGGAUUGUGUGAUGAAUUCAUACGUUUCUGUAUAAUGUUGAUAUAUAUAUAUAUAUACUAUGUCAUAAAUGGAACCAUUGUGUGACAAAUGCAACCGUCCAUAUAACGACCCCUCCUUGGUCGCUACCGGUGUCCACGACUUUCGAGGAAUUUUUGCUACGUCCCAAACAAGCCUCAUUUAAGGCUUCUGCUAGAUUCAUUAAAUAUAUAUAAUCACGUGCAUAAGCGAAUAUCAAUAAUUAAACUACUGUCUACUCCAUUCAAAAUAAUAACAAUUCACGUUUAUGAGUUAACAAUAUUUUUCAACAUCUAGCACUUUCAUUCUGACACAACCUUAAACAGUGGAGCGACUCGGAGCAGGGUUAGGAAAUACCUUUACCUACUCUGCGGUGGUUCGUACACACCGAUGACUACAUGUUAGACUGAUCUCUAUUUACAAAAAGGGAAAACAAAAGGGGUGUGAGUCUCAAACUCAGUGAACAUCAUCGACCUUGUGAGUAGGCGAGAAGGGGAAACAAACAUAAAGGUGGAAUGUUUAUAAAUCCAAGAGUAAGCAUAGAAAAUACAUUCCAUAAAAUUGAGAGAUUUUGCUUUUAUACCUUGCAAUUCUUAAAAAUAAUAAUUCACAAGUAAACAUAUAUGAAAAUAGCUGUAUUUAGGGUACUAGAAAAUCUUUCAACCCCGACAUCCAGUCAUCAUUAAAUUCAAUGACAAGUAAAAAAUGAAAUUUCUCAAAAAUAAAAAGGUGAAUUAAUUGAUCACCAAUGAAUAGGUAAAUUUCACUUGCCAUUAAAUAAAAAUUUUCAAGUAUUAAUGCCAUGCAUAAUGAAAUAAAAAUCUACAAGUGAGCAUCAUCCUCAGGUAGGUUUAAUAUAGCCCUUAGGCUUACUCUCUCAUACAUCAUCACCUACUCGUGGGAACUACCCAUGCCACCAUAUGAAUUGGGACUUCAGGUCCCCCUUUACCUACUCAUGGGAACUACCCAUACCACCAUACAUAAAUCGGGGCUUCAAGUCCCCCUUUACCUACUCAUGGGAACUACCCACGCAACCACCAUACAUAAAUCGGGGCUUCAGGUCCCCUUUUACCUACUCGUGGGAACUACCCAUACCACCAUACAUAAAUCGAGGCUUCAGGUCCCCCUUUACCUACUCAUGGGAACUACCCAUGCCACCAUAUAUAAAUAAAGGCUUCAGGUCCCCUUUUUUAAAUCAAAUAUCAAUAAUCGACAAUUAUUACUUUGUGCACAAAGACCACACUUGACCUAGUGUGGUAACAAGUCCUACUCAGAGUAUCUCAAUCAUGUUAAAAUAAAAUCAUUGCAAUUUAAUACAUUUGCAUAACAUGACAAAUUAAAAACCAUAUAAUCAUAAAAUGAAUAUUAUGCAUAAUUUCUUUCAAAGCAUGGCAUAUUUACCAAAUCAGCAUGCUAAGUGAAAUAAAUAAUUUAUCAUCAAGUUUUAUGAAUCAAUACAAAGGCCAUUGGCCUAAACAUCACACAAACUUGCAAGGUAUGAUUUUGAAGUGAAAGCCAGUCAAAGGUUUAUUUCCCCGUUUUUAAAAACAUGUAGAUAUAUAUAUUUUUAUAUAUUAUAAAAAAAUGAAUUUAAAAUCCGUGUUACAAACACAAACAACCUAAUACUUUCUACCAACUCACGCUGUCCACAAUUUCAUCAAUUAUCAAAUGUAACAUAUAUAUUAUGUUAUAGGGGCAUAGUUUUGAAAUUUAGCACCCACUCACCUCACAAUAGUGGGAGCUACUUCGCUAUUGUUUCGUGCGUGUAUUUAGCUAUUCUUUCUUCCUUUUCAUUUUUCUCUCCUUCUCCCCUUGCUGUCGAUCUUCCUUCCAGCCGACAUUUCUCUUUCUCUUCUUCCUCUUUCUCCUCUAGCACCGUCGCUGCUUCCUCUCUCUUUCUCCUUCUUUUUCUUUCUUCUUCCUUCCCUCUCUUUCUUCUCCUCGACGCCACUUGUCACAACCUGGAACUCCCAUCGAGCCCGUGACAAUCACCGCGACAUCUCGAUAGACAUUCAUUACUUGGAAUGUCAAUCGAAACCUCGCAAGGCUUAACAUAAGUUUUUCUCGCUUCCCCUGUGAGUAUUAGUUACUAAAAUCAUCUUUUGAGAGAUUAUAAACUAUUUCCAAAUCAAAACAAUAGAAAAAUAAUUUUUUUUCUCAUAGGGGCAUUUUGGUCAUUUUUCUUCAAAAAUUUCGAAACCAGCUAAAUAUAUAGUAUGCGAGUAUAAAACACAUAAUUCAUAAUCAAAAAUAAGUUUAAAAGUCUAUAACCUUCAUUUAAAAUGAAAUUAUGAUUAUUUGGAUAUAAUAAAAAAAUAAAAGAAAUAUUCAAUAAAAUAUUCUAUUUUUUUAUAAAACAAUAUUUUUAGAAUUAUACGUAAAUAAUUUUUACAACGUAAAAGCAAAAUAAAUUCAUACAUACUAUAAUACAGUAAGCCAGAGUAUUUAAUUUAAUUUACAAUAACCAGUGGGCCCCCCGAAUAACCAAAAGUAAGGAAGACUGUGAACCUACAAUUUGGAAGAUGCAAGUCUAACUGUAGCCCUCAACAAAGUGAGCUAUCUACCGACUAUCUUGAGCUUGAAAUGGGUGAAAAAGAGGGUGGUGAGAUUAUAUAAUCCCAGUGAGUAAACAAAUACCAUCUAAAAUAUCUAAAGCCGAGUAAAUGGAGAUAGAUAAAAUAGUUUAACAUAAUGUAAUUCAUCACCUUUCAACUUGUUUCAACCAAACAAAAUCAAUUCAUAUAAAUCGAGUAAUCAACAUGGCUUAUGAAUUUCUUAAAACUUUGGCUCGUGCCAAAAUCAUUCACAUACUUAGUUAUCAGGGAUACCUUGACCAAGGGCUAUCCCAAUCGAGUCUGCCAAGGCUGUUAAAAAGUUAUGUACGCAUAAAUCAUGUUUUUAUUUUGAAAAUAUAGCCGUUCCUUGGCGUUGGUUGAGUUCACUCUCACAUGGUGGUUUGGCGUGAAGUGAACUCUAAAGUGUUAACCUCAGGAGUUAUCCAUCCACGCCUCUCAUAUUGAGGUAUGAAUAUAAUAGGGUUACUGUGCCCCUCUAAUAGGCUGGUCCACGGAACCCGUCCCUUGCAGUGACUAAUUUAUAACCCACCAUACAAUAAAAUUUGCAAUAGCAUGAUAUGGCAAUUAUUUUAUUUUAUAGCCUCUCAAGCCAAAUUAACAGUUCAUACAUUUUCAACACAAAUACCAAUUCAACCAUUCAUGCAAAUAUUAUCAUAAGCCAUUCAAUUCAAACCAUGAUUUAUAACACAACAAUUAGUCUCCAAUUACUCCAUUUUCAAAACCAUCAUUCAAUUUCAAGACAAUUUUAUAAAAUCAUUUCAUUUAAACACAUUUUGUUUAUAAAACCUAAAGAUUUACCAUUUAAACACAUUUUUCUAUAAAAUCAAAAAAAAGAAUAAAAACUACUUUAGAUAAUUAAGACGAUAGUAAGGUUACUCACUAUUUCAGAAGUCGAAUUCCGAGGACUCUAAUUCUUGAUCCUCGGGUACUAUCUCUUUACUUUUGCCAGAAUGCUCACCACCU